RNAcentral lists this long non-coding RNA (1174 nucleotides) under Felis catus (domestic cat). Its description in RNAcentral is "lncRNA (ENSFCAG00000053440.1)". Lineage: Eukaryota; Metazoa; Chordata; Mammalia; Carnivora; Felidae. The record is from RNAcentral.
UGGGCGCCCGCGCCCUCCCUGGCCCCGGCGCACCGGCUCCUCCUCCGGGUUUUAGAGCCUCCCUCGCCCUCGGGAGCCUCUGAGGACCCGGCUUCCCGCCACUUCGGACCUCGCGAGGAGGGGGUCACCUUUUUUAGGUUGGGGGCACCGGAGCAACCGCCCCAGAACACCCUGGAAGAGAGGGUCUUGCACCUCCGCCCGCCCCUCCGCUGUGCGCGCACACACCACACAACGCCCCGAACCAGCAUGGAAACACCACCGCCACGACACCCGGUUAAGAAGACGCCCCCCCCCCCUUUCCGCAACAUCCCCGACGGGCCGUCGAGCAAGUCCGGGCCGGGCAAGAGGCCCCGAAAACCGGGCACAGGCUUCAGAGAAACGUGUCGUGGGUUCUCGAGCCCCUCUGCCCCCGCAGGCCGUGGCCCGCAGCGCCUGAAAGCCUGCGCUUCUCGAAAAAUAACUACACACGUGCUGUAACUACUAUACAGCUUCAACCAGCUCAGUUUUCAAAGGAAGCAGGAAAGAGAUGGAAUGAUACCAACAUUUCUUUCACUGAGGACAAGUCAUACAUCCUCGAAGAAGCAGAUUUUUAAAUCCUCUACUACUGUAAUUCAUGAGAAAAGAUGCUAAAUGUAAGUGUAUAUAAAUCGAGAAGCAGAAAUUUACUGACCCAGGCGGCAAACUAAAUAAGUCUGAAUGGGAAACAUCGGAGAGGUAGCCCUGCCUUCUCAACUCCUGACUUAUAAAUGACCUAUAUAAACAAAUACACAAAGGCCUUGUUUUUUAUUACCUGUAAGUCCACCAGAGAUUUGUGGGAUCCGGCUCUUAAAGACUUAAAUAGCUCUAAGAGUCAUUCGCACGUAAGGAUUAACUACUUCAAUCAGUUUGCUUUUUUUUUUUUUUUUUUUUCUAACACGGAUCAGUCAGUAGCACCUCAAGAAGGGGAAGCUUUGGGCAAAUCAGGAUUCAAGAAACAAUGAGCACCUUGCAGCAGGGCCGAAGGCCUUGAGGCCAGAGGUUUUGGGGAGAGGAGCUUAAGCAAAAGCAUAGAAAGGGAAAACAAGAUGGAAGUAUUUAAAAACCGUACCUGUCCAGCUUCAGAUUUUGCAUAUUGAGAAGUCCUAGGCUGCUUACUUUGGGGACCCAUAAGCCUGAAAAUACCGUGGUAAGGUAG